UACGUAGGUGACCAGCGUUGUCCGGAUUUACUGGGCGUAAAGAGCGCGCAGGCGGUCGUUCAAGUCGAGUGUGAAAGCCCCCGGCUCAACUGGGGAGGGUCAUUCGAUACUGAUCGACUCGAAGGCAGGAGGGGGAAGUGGAAUUCCCGGUGUAGUGGUGAAAUGCGUAGAUAUCGGGAGGAACACCAGUGGCGAAGGCGACUUCCUGGCCUGUUCUUGACGCUGAGGCGCGAAAGCUAGGGGAGCAAACGGG
This 253-nucleotide ribosomal RNA is filed under the name uncultured bacterium. RNAcentral's name for it is "partial 16S ribosomal RNA". It matches the Rfam family "Bacterial small subunit ribosomal RNA", at positions 524 to 776 of the family's 1533-position model. The record is from RNAcentral.